ACUAGGUGCCAUCACCAUCGUUAAGGAGAAUUUUGACGACCAAGCCUUAUGGCCAAAGUCGAUGCAGUGAACGAACCAUCCCCUCUAUGACUCUGGUACUCUGGUAGUAGUAGUCGGCCUACGGCCGAAAGACACCUAGUGACAAGAACCGCUUUGGUUACAUCAGUUUUGUUGACAGUUUGGUUACUGGCGGUUUUAUAUGGUUAAAAACUACUACUACGGAUUUAUAUGGUUACAAAGUGGGAAAAUUCGUGUGGUAAACUAAGAAGGAGCAGCUGACUAGGGCAACUGAAAAUGUACUGCAAUGUUUUCAUGUAAUUCUGCAGCCAUAUAACCUGGACUCUGGCUCAUCGGACAUUGAACUGGAGAAUAGGUUACAACUAGCCGCUGCCAUGAGAAAAGAGCCAAAUCAGAUUUUUCUAGCUUUACUAAAUAGUAUGUUAACAAAUGCCUGUUAACUUUCCUAAUCAUCACCUCCUACGUACGUUAAACUGUGAAGUGAAGUGUGUCGAGAAAAUGGCUGUAGGAAAAGUGGGGUUGCCCUUAAACAAGACGCUUGAUCAAAUCAAGUGUGCUGAACAAGUUAGCCUUUGGCUUCGUCUCUUAACUAUAAAAUUUUAUUUUCUGAGUUUAAUGUGUAUACGUUGUUUAAACAGUAUCUUUACCUUGAUUGUAUUGGUUGUCUCACACCAUAGAAAUCUAAUUUCUACUGACGAACUCGUACAGGAAGAAAAAAGGU
RNAcentral lists this long non-coding RNA (739 nucleotides) under Daphnia magna. RNAcentral's name for it is "uncharacterized LOC116924658, transcript variant X1". The record is from RNAcentral. Lineage: Eukaryota; Metazoa; Arthropoda; Branchiopoda; Diplostraca; Daphniidae.